RNAcentral lists this ribosomal RNA (429 nucleotides) under Bacteroidota bacterium. Its description in RNAcentral is "Bacteroidetes bacterium partial 16S ribosomal RNA". It matches the Rfam family "Bacterial small subunit ribosomal RNA", at positions 355 to 776 of the family's 1533-position model. Lineage: Bacteria; Pseudomonadati; Bacteroidota. The record is from RNAcentral.
UAGGGAAUCUUCGGCAAUGGGGGGAACCCUGACCGAGCAACGCCGCGUGAGUGAAGAAGGUUUUCGGAUCGUAAAGCUCUGUCGUUAAGGAAGAACGAGUGCGAGAAUGGAAAGUUCAUGCUGUGACGGUACUUAACCAGAAAGGGACGGCUAACUACGUGCCAGCAGCCGCGGUAAUACGUAGGUCCCGAGCGUUGUCCGGAUUUAUUGGGCGUAAAGCGAGCGCAGGCGGUUAGAAAAGUCUGAAGUGAAAGGCAGUGGCUCAACCAUUGUAGGCUUUGGAAACUGUUUAACUUGAGUGCAGAAGGGGAGAGUGGAAGUCCAUGUGUAGCGGUGAAAUGCGUAGAUAUAUGGAGGAACACCGGUGGCUAAAGCGGCUCUCUGGUCUGUAACUGACGCUGAGGCUCGAAAGCGUGGGGAGCGAACAGG